RNAcentral lists this ribosomal RNA (294 nucleotides) under uncultured bacterium. Its description in RNAcentral is "partial 16S ribosomal RNA". It matches the Rfam family "Bacterial small subunit ribosomal RNA", at positions 773 to 1060 of the family's 1533-position model. The record is from RNAcentral.
GUGGAUUAGAUACCCGAGUAGUCCUAGCCGUAAACUCUGAGUACUGAAUUGAAGGGCCCUCCAUAGCCCUUCAGUUGAAGCGAAAGUGUUAAGUACUCCGCCUGGGGAGUAUGGUCGCAAGGCUGAAACUCAAAGAAAUUGACGGGGGCUCACACAAGCGGUGGAUGAUGUGGCUUAAUUCGAGGCUACGCGAAGAACCUUAUCCUAGUCUUGACAUGCACGGAUUAACUCCUGGAAACAGGAGCCAGGCCUUCGGGUACAACGUGCACAGGUGCUGCACGGCCGUCGCCAGCU